AUGAAGCUGGCUGUGAAAACACAGAAAACACAGUCUUUACGCUCACAGAGCUUGAGGACAACCAGGGUGACAAGAAAACCAUCCGGGCAGGGUCAGCUCAGUGCUGGCGCGUUUGGCAGCAACCGGGAGACGGCUGUGGCUUGCUUCAGGACCGACAUGGAGCAGAUGGGAUGCAAGGCUGACAAACUCUGUCAGUGAGACUCUGUGGAUAGAAAGCAUGAGUAGGUGCCAAACAUUCCAGGUAAGCAGCGAAUGCAGAUUUCCUCCUUGCAUCUCACCCAACUGUGCUUAAAAUGGCUUGUCUGGCACACUUUGAGGGGUUAGCCUAUUUUCUUGCAUUCAAAAGAAUGUCUAACUCUUUGUUCUUGAAUCAAACCCAGUGAGUGAAGACUAAGUGUUCCAGAUGGGCCAACCACGCAGAAGCAUGGUGGCAGCUCUGAGAUGCCGCCCAGUGAGCCCCAGUAGUCACAUCCUGGAGAGUCCCUUCUUCACUGAAUAGGACCCAUCUGGUAACCAGUAGGACUGCAGAAAUGAUGUCCAAGGUUAGGCCAUAAAAGACAUGGUUCCUGCCUUGCUCUCCUUGAAUCACUUACUCGGGAGCAGCCAGCUGCCAUGUUGUAAGGACACUCAAGCAGCUCUGUGGAGGAGUCCAUGUAGUGGGAAACUGAGGCCUCCCACCAACAGCCAGCACCAACCUGCUAGGCAGGUGGGUGCACCACCUCAGAGGUAAAUCCUCCAGCCUAAGUUGAACCUCCAAUGACACAGCCCCAGCUGACACCCUGACUGCAACCCCAUGAAAUCCCUGAGCUAGAACCACCCAGCUAAGCCGCUCCUGAAUUCCUGACCCACAGAAACUAUGAAAUAAUAAAUGUUCAUUGUCAUUUCAAGCCACUAAGUUUUGGGGUCAUUUGUUACACAGCAGUAGAAAUCUGAUACAGGCAUACUGUGGUCCCUUCCUCCCUUCCCAGGGACAGAGUCACUUUGGAAAGCUUCCUCAGAUCAUUUUCAAAGCACUUCUCAAUAACUCUUUUAGUUCUUGUUACAAAGUUUCAGUUUCACAAAUGGACUCCUACUGAUAUCACAGGCUGCUCCAACCCUCAACAGUGAGUUUGCUAAUAAACCAAAAUCAGGGACUGGGCACGGUGGCUCACGUCUGUAAUCCCAGCACUUUGGGAGGCCAAGACGGGCAGAUCACCUGAGGUCAGGAGUUCGAGACCAGCCUGACCAACAUGGAGAAACCUCAUCUCUACUAAAAAUACAAAAUUAGCCGGGCAUGGUGGCACACGCCUGUAAUCCCAGCUACUUGGGAGGCUGAGGCAGGAGAAUUGCUUGAACCCUGGAGGCAGAGGUUGCGGUGAGCCGAGAUCAUGCUACUGCACUCCAGCCUGGGCAACAGAGUGAAAAAACAAAAAAAUCAGGUUUCCACUGCAUUUACUUCCCUCUCUCGUACUGGGUAUGGAGGUAGUUGAAAUUCUAACAGGAAGGAUGCCUUCAAAAUUCUGCCAGUCUCCCUCCUUGUUACUGUGUAUGACGUGGUAUGACAUGCUAUCACAGUACUGCAAAGUCAUUGAUAACAUGUGGCAGGGGUGCCCUGGGUUCUGAAGCCCCACCAAGUCCUCCAGGCAAUCUUCUGGCUGUAGUAGCGCCUCCCUGGGAGAUGAGCUAGAAUUCAAGGAAGUCUGAUUCUAGGCUGUUUGCAUCAAGCGAGGACUCGGGGAAGAGGUG
RNAcentral lists this long non-coding RNA (1725 nucleotides) under Papio anubis (olive baboon). Its description in RNAcentral is "lncRNA (ENSPANG00000044211.1)". The record is from RNAcentral. Lineage: Eukaryota; Metazoa; Chordata; Mammalia; Primates; Cercopithecidae.